Long non-coding RNA from Girardinichthys multiradiatus, 246 nucleotides. RefSeq lists it as uncharacterized. Lineage: Eukaryota; Metazoa; Chordata; Actinopteri; Cyprinodontiformes; Goodeidae. The record is from RefSeq and is a predicted model, not a curated record. The transcript has 3 exons.
GAAUCCUACCUGAUCUGUUCCAGUCCUCCGUAGUGGCUAAGGCUACUUCCUGAUCUAGUCUGUGCAUGGCAAACUGAACUCCUUUCCUGACAUUUAUUCUCUCCCUGGCGGGUUAUUCCGGAAUCUCCACAGGAAGUUUCCUUGUAAUGUAGCAGCUACCUUAGCAGCGAGAGAAGGUCAGAGGUCAAUACUGUCUUGGAUUCGUCCUUCUUGCCGGGCUUUAGACGCCAGGUUGGAGAACCAGAC